RNAcentral lists this long non-coding RNA (5938 nucleotides) under Triticum aestivum (bread wheat). RNAcentral's name for it is "long non-coding RNA (TAES_LNC004737)". The record is from RNAcentral. Lineage: Eukaryota; Viridiplantae; Streptophyta; Magnoliopsida; Poales; Poaceae.
GAAAGACACGCUCUAAUACACAACGGUGUAGCUACUACAAGCCAAAUUUACUUGCUUGCCAAAAUGCGUACUUACUGUAUCUAACAUCUUCGUUGUGAAAAUGCGAUGUGAUCAACACAGUGCAUUUCCCUCCCCAAGAGGCCAAGACAACUUGUUUUUUUUGCAGGAAAAUUAGAGAGCUUUAUUUCACGAAAGCACACUCGGUGCAAUCAGCCAGAAGGCCGGUGACCAAGAAGCUAGGGGUUUCUUCGAGACAGCUUUCGGUCACAUUCAGUGUGCAAGCACGCUUCGCACACAGAUGCGCCAGAACAUUUGCCGCUCGAUUUACAUGAAAAAUAUCAAAAGAAGCAAAAGAGGUACAUAGCUCUCCUAUUUCUAAAAGUAAAGGAGCCACAAUUGAAUGAGAAUUGUGGCGAGUUUGCCAGAACUUCACCAGCUCCAAACAGUCGACCUCCAUGAUCACAUGCUGAAACCCACGGAGACAUGCAAAGCGGACUCCAUCGCGCAAUGACAAACACUCCAUCAUCAGAGGGUCCGAAACUCCCAUGUAUGGUUUACACCAUGAACCCAGGAGAGCCGAUGAUGAUCUAGCUACUCCUCCAGCACCACCCCGGCCUUCAACCAGCUCCUGAGCGCCGUCCGUCGUAAUCUUGACCGAACCCCCCUCAGGAGGCCGCCAACCAUAACCCGGUAGGACCCGAGUUUCCUUUCGUGGUAGUUGGAGGAGGGAGAUAGCCUCCUUAAUAUAUUUGAUAGAUGUUACAAGAUCUCUCCCCUCUUCACCAUGUUUGAUUCGGUUCCUGGAGUGCCAAAUUGCCCACAUAAUCAUGGUGAUCUUGGCACGAUCAUCGGAUGUGAACUGAGGAUCACAAGUGAUAUCUCGAGCCCACGUAACCGAGUGGAGAGGAGGAAGACGAAGACCGAGCCAUGUCCAUGCCUCUUCCCAGAAGCUCUGUGCAUGUAUACAAUGUAUUAGUGCAUGCUUCAGGUCCUCCUUCGUAGAGCGACAAACAUUACACUGGCGAGCAUCUGCAAUGUGUCGAUAGUUGAGAGUUGUUUCAUCCGGAAGAAUGCCACGUAACACUCUCCACCAGAACACUCGUACUUUUGGGAUAACAUUCAACUUCCACAAGGAUUUCCACAACUGUUUAUCAUCGGAUGAGGUUUCGGUAGCCGUCCCUUCCUCUAGAGCCAAACGCUCGUUCUGAGUCACGAGAGCACGGUACAUCAUCUUGACAGUGUAGUUACCUGAUAUGUCAAUGCCCAUGCAAGAAAAUCGUCACCACCGCCUUGCCUGACAGGGAUAUUAAGGAUAGUCGCGGCAUCUUGAGCCGUGAAGGUAUCCCUGAUCAAAUCAAUCUUCCAAGACCAACUUCGUGUGUCAAUGAGAUCUGAAACCCUCUCAAUAUUUGUACUUGUUCGUCUCAGAGCUGGAGUCAUUGUGAUCGUACCUGGGAUCCACUUGUCCUCCCAAACCGAUAUAGUAGAACCAUCUCCCACUGUGGAGAUUAACCCUGUCUUCAGAGCGUCCCUUCCGGCCACAAUCGCCUUCCAAGUUGCCGAGGCUGACUUGGGAACUAAAGCAUGCAUGAAAUCAGUAUCCGGAAAGUAACGGCCCUUGAGUACUCUCGCACAAAGCAAAUUUGGGUUGGUGAUGAAACGCCACCCAUGCUUUCCCAACAUAGCUAGGUUAAACAGAUGCGGGUCUCGAAACCCCAUCCCCCCCUCGCACUUGGGUUUAGAUAACUCCUUCCAGGAUACCCAAUGCAUUGCUUUUUUAUCAAGAGAGCUACUCCAAAAAAAUAGACAUGGGGGAAGUGAGACUCUUGCAAACUUUCUUGGUGAGAAGGAAAGUGCUCAUGGGAUAAGUGGGAAUAGACUGAAUUACAGAUUUGAGCAAAGUUUCCCGUCCAACACAUGCAAGCAAUUUUUCUGACCACCCUUGCAUCUUCCCACGAGCUCGCUCACUAAUAUGAUCCACUGGUGAUACGUCCAACCGCAGUGGGGAGCCCCAAAUAUCUCUCACUAAAAGCCUCGACUUGGAUAUUCAAAGUCGACUUCGAAUCUUGCCUGAUGGUGUCCGGGGUAUUUGUGCUGAAAUAAAUAGAGCUUUUGUCCCGGUUCACACACUGACCCGAGGCAUCACCAUAGAUCCUCAGAAUUUCAUUCAGACGCAAAGCACUAGCUGCGCUUGCAUUAAUGAAGAUUAGGCUGUCAUCUGCAAACAACAAAUGAGAGACCCAAGGUGAUCUAUAGCUCACUCUUAGUCCCCGAUCAAUGUAUCCAUCAUUAUAAAACUUCAGUAAUGAGGAAAACCCUUCUGCACAAAGAAGAAACAGAUAUGGAGAAACUGGAUCACCUUGUCGAAAACCCCGAGAUGGGGUGAAGAAUGGAAGAAGCUCUCCAUUAACCCGAACAAAAAACCGAACCGAGGUGACACACUUCAUUAUCAGGCGAAUGAAAUUAAUACUGAAGCCCAAAUGAGACAGAAUCGCCUCGAGGUAAUGCCACUCCACCAGAUCGUAAGCCUUCAUCAUGUCUAACUUGACUGCACAAGAGAAAUUCUUUCCUUUCUUCCUUCUUCUCAUCGUAUGUAUACUUUCAUAAGCAACCAGUACAUUGUCUGUGAUGAGACGACCAGGAACAAAAGCGCUCUGCUCUUCACUGAUAAUAUCAUCCAUAAUGUAUCUCAAGCGAUUAGUAAUAACUUUGGCCGCAAUCUUAUAAAGGACCGGACGCAAAGCAAUAGGACGAUAUUGUGAAAUCGACUGUGGGUGUCGUACCUUGGGGAUAAGAGUGAUAGCAGUGUCGUUCAAACCCGAAGGUAACUCGCCCCCAUUCAGAAAGUCCAGUACUACCAAGGUCACGUCAUUGCCGAGCAAGUCCCAAUGCCACUGAUAAAACCCUACAGUAAAGCCGUCAACACCAGGAGCCUUAGAUGGCGCCAUUUGGAACAACGCCACUUUGACCUCAUCUACGGUGUAUGGCUUGGUAAGAUCAUCAUUCAUGCCCUGAGUCACUUUGACGGGCACAUGAGAUAAUAAAUCGCUAGCCUCAGUAAAACCCUGCGUUUGAUACAGGUUCUGAUAGAAAGCUAGCACCUCAGCCUUGCCCUCACUCUUAGAUUCACAUAUUGUGCCAUCUACACGGCGUAAGCCAUGUAUCUUGUUCAUUCUCUUUCGCUGGGCAGCUUGUGCCUGAAAGUAGGAAGUGUUCCGAUCGCCCUCGAGGAGCCAAGGAACCCGUGAACGCUGUCGAAGCCACACCUCCUCUUGGUGGAGCGCUUCCUUCAGCUUCUUGACAAUACUUUUCUCUUCAUCCGUUGGUCCCACCCCCAUGGUGGAGCACCUGAUACGAUCCAAUCUCUUUUGAAGUUUCCUGACCAUGUGUGUCAAACAACCAAAUUCCUUUGAGCCCCAUGGCUCAAGAAUAGACUGGAGGGACCCCAAGGCUGAUGCAAUCCCUUGGAGCCCUGGCGUAUGCUGAAUCCCCCGCCAAGUAUCACAUAGCAGGCGAUCAUAAUCCGAGUGCGUCUGCCAUACGUUCUCAUAACGAAAUUGUCUUUUAGCCCGUGGCCCGUACAAAGGCAUGUCCUUAAUCUCAGCUACAACGAAACAGUGAUCAGACUCAACUGAGGGGAGAUGUCUGACCCGUAUAUGUUGAAAAAGUUGCUGAAACUCCUCGUUCCAAAAGCUCGGUCGAGACGGACCUUUACAUUUGCUGCACCUGUUUGCUGAUUGUCCCACGUAUAUGGUGUACCCGACCAGCCUAAAUCUUGCAUAGAAACCUCAUCCAUGACAGUCCGAAACGCUCACAUGUGUGUCUCUGAUCUUGCUCUUCUGCUAAAGUGUUCGGAACCAUAGAGAGUUUCAUUAAAAUCCCCCAUACACAGCCAUGCUGCAUGGGGUAUAGAAAAAAGAGUGUGCAGGAGCUGCCAGCUUUCACCACGAUCUGAAGCUCUUGGCGCCCCAUAAAAACCAGUAAACCUCCAAACCGAAGAACUCUGAUUGUUGCUGUGAACCUCCACAUCAAUGUGACACUUACUGAAAUUUUUCAGCUCAACAUUCACAUCACGUGACCAAAACAGACCAAUGCCACCACUUAGGCCGACACUGUCUACUACAAAACACCCUCCAAAACCGAGAGUGCACUUCAACGCCUCAACUCUUUUAGCUUGAAUUUUCGUUUCCAUCACAAAGAGAAGAGUGGGUCUUUCUAGCUUCACUAUACUGCGAAGCUCGCGAACUGCCUCGGGGUUCCCAAGCCCCCGGCAGUUCCAGCUCAAGCAUGUCAUUGUGUUGGGCAGGACCGCGGCGCGGUCUCUGCCGAAUUCUCAGGUGUGGGCUUCUUUUUCUUUGGAUCCCGUAAAAAUUCAUCACCUUCUACUUCAUUGCUAGCAGAAGUCUCACCAUCCUUGCCAAUAGUUUCAACACCAUUGGCUGCACUCGGUUCCCCCUCUGUAAGCAGCAAGUUUUCACCAUCGGUCUGUAUACUUGGUUCGGAGCAUCUUUCCUCUUUGGUGGAGCCCUGUGCUUGAUCGGGGAAAUAACCUCUUCCCCUGGCUCCUUGUUGGUGCUCGAGUUUCUGGUUGUUGGCUUGUAGUUGGCACCCUUCUGUGGAUCCUUGGAAGAAUUUUCACUGCUCGGUGACUUCCGGGACUCGUCAGGAGCGCGUAAUUUUGGGCCGAACGGAAGCUCACCAUUCUCGUCCCUAGAACCAGGAGUUGGGCAAUGCAAAUCUGAGUGCCCUAACCUACCACAGGAGAAGCAGAAGUAUGGUAUAUUUUCAUAUUGGAUAUCGUAUAUAUCUACCUUCUUCCUCCUGGCAGAGUCUAUUAGGAUCCAGCGUCUGAUUGGCUUAGCAACAUCGAUGGAAAUUCUUGCUCGCAGAAACCCACCAUUGUGGUCAAAUUUAACUGAAAGAGCGUUCUUGUCUAUCUGUUGAGCUAUUGGCUUCCACCAUGCCUCAUCACGCAAAUUGUAUGGCAAGUUAACAACCCUAGCCCAUACUUGCAACUUAUCAAACUUCACCUCAUCCGGCCUCAUGCAGUCGUCAAAUUCCGCUNNNNNNNNNNNNNNNNNNNNNNNNNNNNNNNNNNNNNNNNNNNNNNNNNNNNNNNNNNNNNNNNNNNNNNNNNNNNNNNNNNNNNNNNNNNNNNNNNNNNNNNNNNNNNNNNNNNNNNNNNNNNNNNNNNNNNNNNNNNNNNNNNNNNNNNNNNNNNNNNNNNNNNNNNNNNNNNNNNNNNNNNNNNNNNNNNNNNNNNNNNNNNNNNNNNNNNNNNNNNNNNNNNNNNNNNNNNNNNNNNNNNNNNNNNNNNNNNNNNNNNNNNNNNNNNNNNNNNNNNNUCUCUGAUUCUCAAACUCUGCCACAAAGAUGUUAAUUCCGGCAGAUCUGAACUAAAGACCUCGUGGAUUACCCCAUGCCGAGCGCAGGGCGUUGGUGAUAGUCUGGAUAUGGAGUUGAUUACAGUGUAGUACUUUACCAGCCAACAGCCACCUCGCCGGUCCAUCCUCGAUGCGAUCAUCAAGUAUCAAAGGAGUAGCCUCUUCCUCGGAGAUAUCAAGUUUCCCUAAAGCUUCCUCCAAUUGUUUCCUGGCCGCGCGACCCGCGAGAGGGUCGCUCUCCGGCGCCGCCCCCGCCGCAGAGUUAGAUCCUGCCAUGCGCAGGUUCUCCCCCUUGACGGAUCUCUCGCACCGGCGAUAGAUCACCGGACGAAGGCUGUUUCCACGUCCAAACCCUAAUCGCCUCCAGCGCCGCCAGAGGGUUUAGGGUUAGGGGAAAAAACUGCGGUUCUCCAAAUCCCGAUCUAAAACAGGCCAAGACAACUUGUCCCUGCAGGAAACCACACAAGAGGCUCACAGUAUCGUACUAUAUAUAUGUACACCUUCAGACUUCCAUGUAGCUAAGUACAAUAAUCCCAAGUAUUAGUAAGCUCCAC